UUAAAUGGCUGCAGUAUAACUAACUGUACAAAGGUAGCAUAAUCAAUUGAUUUUUAAAUGAAAUCUGGAAUGAAAGGAUUAAUGAAAUAUAUACUGUCUCAUAUUUAUUUAAUGAAUUUAAAAUUUUAAUAAAAAUGUUAAAAUUUUUUUAUGGGACGAUAAGACCCUAUAGAAUUUUAUAUUACUUUAUUUUUGUAAUUAAAUAUAAAAUUUAAAUUAAUAUUUGAUUGGGAGAAUCAUUAAAUUUGAUAAAUUUUAAUAAAUAAAAACUUUAAUUAAAGAAAAUUUUUGAUCUUUAAUUUAAAAUUGUUAGAAUAAAUUACCUUAGGGAUAACAGCGUAAUAUUUUUUUAUAGAUCGUAUAGAAAAAAAUGGUUGCGACCUCGAUGUUGAAUUAAGAUAAAUUUUAAAUG
Molecule: ribosomal RNA, 412 nt
Filed under: Friesella schrottkyi
Lineage: Eukaryota; Metazoa; Arthropoda; Insecta; Hymenoptera; Apidae
Description: partial 16S large subunit ribosomal RNA
Source: RNAcentral